CCUACGGGGUGCAGCAGUAGGGAAUCUUCCACAAUGGGCGAAAGCCUGAUGGAGCAAAGCCGCGUGUGUGAUGAAGGGUUUCGGCUCGUAAAACACUGUUGUAAGAGAAGAAUGACAUUGAGAGUAACUGUUCAAUGUGUGACGGUAUCUUACCAGAAAGGAACGGCUAAAUACGUGCCAGCAGCCGCGGUAAUACGUAUGUUCCAAGCGUUAUCCGGAUUUAUUGGGCGUAAAGCGAGCGCAGACGGUUAUUUAAGUAUGAAGUGAAAGCCCUCAGCUCAACUGAGGAAUUGCUUUGGAAACGGGAUGACUUGAGUGCAGUAGAGGAAAGUGGAACUCCAGGUGUAGCGGUGAAAUGCGUAGAUAUAUGGAAGAACACCAGUGGCGAAGGCGGCUUUCUGGACUGUAACUGACGUUGAGGCUCGAAAGUGUGGGUAGCAAACAGGAUUAGAUACCCUUGUAGUC
RNAcentral lists this ribosomal RNA (465 nucleotides) under uncultured Lactobacillaceae bacterium. RNAcentral's name for it is "bacterial SSU rRNA". It matches the Rfam family "Bacterial small subunit ribosomal RNA", at positions 338 to 795 of the family's 1533-position model. Lineage: Bacteria; Bacillati; Bacillota; Bacilli; Lactobacillales; Lactobacillaceae. The record is from RNAcentral.